RNAcentral lists this unclassified non-coding RNA (652 nucleotides) under Hevea brasiliensis (rubber tree). The record is from RNAcentral. Lineage: Eukaryota; Viridiplantae; Streptophyta; Magnoliopsida; Malpighiales; Euphorbiaceae.
GUCUGCAGCGCCUGCGGCAAGCCCUGCCGAUCCAAAACUGAGACGGAUCUGCACACCAAGAGGACUGGACACACCGAGUUCGUUGAUAAGACUUUGGAUGUAGCGAAGCCGAUUGAGCUGGAGGCCCCCAAGGCGGCGGUGGCGCCGGAGGACAGCGUCAUGGGCGAAAGCAGCCAGUCGGAAGAGAUGGUUGUCCCAGAGGUUGACAAAAAAAUGCUUGAGGAUCUUGAAUCAAUGGGAUUUGCUACAACCCGUGCAACUAGAGCGCUUCAUUUUUCUGGAAAUAAUGGUGUUGAAGCUGCGAUAAACUGGAUUGCUGAACAUGAAAAUGACCCAGAUAUUGAUCAGAUGCCUCUGGUGCCCGUUAAUACCAAAACUGAAAGUGACAAGCCGGCUUUAACCCCCGAGGAAGUGAAAAAGAAAGCUCAAGAACUAAGGGAACGUGCUCGUAAGAAGAAAGAAGAAGAAGAGAAAAGAAUGGAAAGAGAAAGAGAGAAGGAAAGAGUUCGUGUGGGUAAAGAACUUCUUGAAGCCAAGCGGAUUGAAGAGGACAAUGAGAGAAAAAGAAUAUUGGCAAUGCGAAAAGCAGAGAAAGAAGAGGAGAAAAGGGCAAGAGAGAAAAUCCGUCAGCGUUUAGAGGAGGAUAAGGCUG